This 203-nucleotide long non-coding RNA is filed under the name Salvia miltiorrhiza (redroot sage). RNAcentral describes it as "long non-coding RNA (SMIL_LNC013109)". Lineage: Eukaryota; Viridiplantae; Streptophyta; Magnoliopsida; Lamiales; Lamiaceae. The record is from RNAcentral.
GGAAAAAGACGAAGACGGAUAAUGUCAUCAGGGACACCAUUCAUCUUCACCGUGCUACACAGCUCCAGGAAAUGCGCCAGGUGCGCAUUAGGGUCUUCAAUCGCUUGUCCACCAUAUUGGCUUUGUUGGACCAUCGUGAUCAAACCCGUUUUCAGCUCAAAGUUGUUUACGUUCACUCGUGGGGGCUCCUGGUACACAUACUG